UUCAGGAAGCUACAUUCAGAGGCAGACUUUUUGUAGACUGGGCUACAUUUGCAAGAUGGAAAGGUGCAUUAAGAGUUGGGUGACAUGACUUCAGAUGUUAAAGGGGUGAGUGCUUUCAAAGUCCUGCCCAUUCUGGAGGAAGGGUCCACAGAACCACAACCACAGAAUUCUGGAAGCCAUUCAUUGACAUACAAACCUGUGCAGACCAGCAUGGUGGAUUUGUGUCUUGGGGAUGAGACAACGACAUCCCAGACCUUCGCCCUUUGUUACGGACUGUGCCACUGAAGCCACUGACUUGUUGCCUGGGAAUUUCUCCAGCUUGCAGUAUAUUAUAUUGAUGGACAUAAGUCUUCAUGUGUGAUUUUUUUUUUUUUUUUUAAGGCCAACAGUUUUUUCUGGCCACCUGUAACAUGUUUUAAAUUGUCAUAUGUAUUGUCUGGUGGACACUUGAUUUGGCUUAGUUUUAAUAGCACAAUGUUUGGAACGAUUCUCAUGUGGUAAUCAUUCAUUUUUGAGUGUUCUGCUGCUGCAAUGUUGACAAAGAAUCGGAAUCUACAGUGCCUAGUUUACACAGUUUUGUGUUUUAAAGUAACUGAUCUACUAAAAUUAUUGUUUUAUGUGUCUGUAAUGGUUGGAUAAAAUGUU
Long non-coding RNA from Labeo rohita (rohu), 645 nucleotides. RefSeq lists it as uncharacterized. Lineage: Eukaryota; Metazoa; Chordata; Actinopteri; Cypriniformes; Cyprinidae. The transcript has 3 exons. The record is from RefSeq and is a predicted model, not a curated record.